RNAcentral lists this ribosomal RNA (475 nucleotides) under Hesionidae sp. D ZW-2021. RNAcentral describes it as "partial large subunit ribosomal RNA". It matches the Rfam family "Bacterial large subunit ribosomal RNA", at positions 1913 to 2609 of the family's 2925-position model. The record is from RNAcentral. Lineage: Eukaryota; Metazoa; Annelida; Polychaeta; Phyllodocida; Hesionidae.
UUAAGGUUUUAACGGCUGCGGUAUCCUGACCGUGCAAAGGUAGCGUAAUCCAUUGCCUUUUAAUUGUAGGCUUGUAUGAAUGUAUUAACGAGGGAUAAGUUGUCUCGGGCCUUUGAUUAGAAAUUAAGCUUCAGGUGAAGAUGCCUGAAUUAAGCCAAAAGACAAGAAGACCCUAUUGAGCUUUAUUUGAGGCUCUGGUAUCUACUGACUGAAGUAUAGUGGGAAAAGGAGAUAAAAUUUGGUUGGGGAGACUAAGGAAUUAAAAAAUCUUCCUUGGAAGAAAGAAGUUGUUUCGUAAGAGAGAUCCUUUUUAGAUCUUAAGAAUAAGUUACCAUAGGGGUAACAGGCUUAUUUUUCCAGAGAGUUCAUAUUGACGGGAAAGAUUGGCACCUCGAUGUUGGCUUAGAAUAUCCUUUAAGUGCAGCAGCUUAAAAGGGUUGGUUUGUUCACCCAUUAAAAUUCUACGUGAUCUGAG